Aedes aegypti (yellow fever mosquito) is the source of this 46-nucleotide non-coding RNA. The record is from Rfam. NCBI's taxonomy places the organism in Eukaryota, Metazoa, Arthropoda, Insecta, Diptera, Culicidae.
CAAUCGGCCCUUUUCAGGGCCAGCAUACGUUCAUAAAAGGGUUUAU